RNAcentral lists this ribosomal RNA (545 nucleotides) under uncultured bacterium. Its description in RNAcentral is "bacterial SSU rRNA". It matches the Rfam family "Bacterial small subunit ribosomal RNA", at positions 355 to 896 of the family's 1533-position model. The record is from RNAcentral.
UGGGGAAUAUUGCACAAUGGGGGAAACCCUGAUGCAGCGACGCCGCGUGGGGGAUGAAGGCCUUCGGGUUGUAAACCCCUUUCAGUAGGGAACAAGGCCAUGAUUGUUGUUGUGGUUGAGGGUACUUGCAGAAGAAGCGCCGGCUAACUACGUGCCAGCAGCCGCGGUAAUACGUAGGGCGCAAGCGUUGUCCGGAAUUAUUGGGCGUAAAGAGCUCGUAGGCGGUUUGUCGCGUCUGCCGUGAAAACCCGAUGCUUAACGUCGGGCUUGCGGUGGGUACGGGCAGGCUAGAGUGCGGUAGGGGUGACUGGAAUUCCUGGUGUAGCGGUGGAAUGCGCAGAUAUCAGGAGGAACACCGAUGGCGAAGGCAGGUCACUGGGCCGUUACUGACGCUGAGGAGCGAAAGCAUGGGGAGCGAACAGGAUUAGAUACCCUGGUAGUCCAUGCCGUAAACGUUGGGCACUAGGUGUGGGGAUUGUUCCACGAUUCCUGUACCGUAGCUAACGCAUUAAGUGCCCCGCCUGGGGAGUACGGCCGCAAGGUUA